AGCAGCCGCGGUAAUUCCAGCUCCAAUAGCGUAUAUUAAAGUUGUUGCAGUUAAAAAGCUCGUAGUUGAAUUUCGGGACCAAUUUGUUGGUCGUGCCUCGGUACGUACUGGUAUUAUUGGUUUCUCCCUUCUGAAGAACCUCGAUGCCAUUAAUUUGGUGUCGUGGGGAAUCAGGACUGUUACUUUGAAAAAAUUAGAGUGUUUAAAGCAAGCAUACGCUUGAAUACAUUAGCAUGGAAUAAUGAAAUAGGACGUUUGAUUCUAUUUUGUUGGUUUCUAGGAUCGACGUAAUGAUUAAUAGGGAUAGUUGGGGGCAUUAGUAUUCAAUUGUCAGAGGUGAAAUUCUUGGAUUUAUUGAAGACUAACUACUGCGAAAGCAAUUUGCCAAGGAUGUUUUCAUUAAUCAAGAACGAAAGUUAGGGGAUCGAAGACGAUCAGAUACCGUCGUAGUC
Molecule: ribosomal RNA, 452 nt
Filed under: uncultured Glomus
Lineage: Eukaryota; Fungi; Glomeromycota; Glomeromycetes; Glomerales; Glomeraceae
Description: SSU rRNA
Rfam family: Eukaryotic small subunit ribosomal RNA
Source: RNAcentral